RNAcentral lists this transfer RNA (82 nucleotides) under Ixodes scapularis (black-legged tick). It matches the Rfam family "tRNA". From Rfam's summary of the family: Transfer RNA (tRNA) molecules are approximately 80 nucleotides in length. Lineage: Eukaryota; Metazoa; Arthropoda; Arachnida; Ixodida; Ixodidae. The record is from Rfam by way of RNAcentral.
GCAGUCGUGGCCGAGUGGCUAAGGCGAUGGACUAGAAAUCCAUUGGGGUCUCCCCGCACAGGUUCGAAUCCUGUCGACUGCU